This 482-nucleotide ribosomal RNA is filed under the name Tragopogon heterospermus. Its description in RNAcentral is "eukaryotic LSU rRNA". The stretch from base 127 to 282 matches the Rfam family "5.8S ribosomal RNA". Lineage: Eukaryota; Viridiplantae; Streptophyta; Magnoliopsida; Asterales; Asteraceae. The record is from RNAcentral.
UUGUUGACAAGUUAACCAACCCCGGCACGGAAUGUGCCAAGGAAAAAGAAAACAAAAGAAGGUUGUACCCGGUUUUUGCCCCGUUCGCGGUGUGCAUGCUGGUUGUGACCUCUUUGAAACAAAAACGACUCUCGGCAACGGAUAUCUCGGCUCACGCAUCGAUGAAGAACGUAGCAAAAUGCGAUACUUGGUGUGAAUUGCAGAAUCCCGUGAACCAUCGAGUUUUUGAACGCAAGUUGCGCCCAAAGCCAUCCGGUUGAGGGCACGCCUGCCUGGGCGUCACGCAUCGCGUCGCUCCCCCAUGUAUAUCAGAUUUGGGAUGCAUGGUGUCGGGGCGGAGAUUGGUCUCCCGUGAACCUGUUGCGGUUGGCCCCAACAUGAGUCACCUUCGGUUGACGCACGGCUAGUGGUGGUUGAAUAGGCCCUUGUCUUUUGUUGUGCGUCAUUUGCUGCAAGGAAAGCUCUUGUAUAAGACCCUAAUG